This 399-nucleotide long non-coding RNA is filed under the name Brassica napus (rape). RNAcentral describes it as "long non-coding RNA (BNAP_LNC005102)". Lineage: Eukaryota; Viridiplantae; Streptophyta; Magnoliopsida; Brassicales; Brassicaceae. The record is from RNAcentral.
CCACUUUCUGGUAUGAUAAGUGUUGGUGUGACAUUCGGUUUUGGCAUGUGAAGCAACUCUAAGUCUCAGGACGUCUCCUUAAGCUGAUAUGAUGCUCUCACACACCAAGAACUCGCUGCAGAGAACAGAUAACAAAAAAAAAACAGAACACACUUGAAGAAUAGAGUAUUUGAAAAAGAGUGCAAGACACAAGAUUGUUAACCAGUUACAUCCAUUAACGAAGGUGUUAGUCUGGGUCAGGACCUGUCUCCCGGAAUCUACCAGAGGUUAUAAGAGAGUAUUCACACAACCUCAAAGCCCUUACAAUGCUUUUCUUGGUUUCACUCUAUACCCCUUCCCAAAAACAAAGAUACAAGUUUAUGUUGUGUGUACAAUGUCCUUACUUCUCUCUGUCUUUAU